AUACGGAGGGUCCAAGCGUUAUCCGGAAUCAUUGGGUUUAAAGGGUCCGUAGGCGGACAAUUAAGUCAGAGGUGAAAUCCCACAGCUCAACUGUGGAACUGCCUUUGAUACUGGUUGUCUUGAAUCAUAGUGAAGUAGAUAGAAUAUGUAGUGUAGCGGUGAAAUGCAUAGAUAUUACAUAGAAUACCGAUUGCGAAGGCAGUCUACUAACUGUAUAUUGACGCUGAUGGACGAAAGCGUGGGGAGCGAACAGGAUUAGAUACCCCAGUAGUCC
Molecule: ribosomal RNA, 274 nt
Filed under: uncultured bacterium
Lineage: Bacteria
Description: partial 16S ribosomal RNA
Rfam family: Bacterial small subunit ribosomal RNA
Source: RNAcentral